Molecule: ribosomal RNA, 467 nt
Filed under: uncultured bacterium
Lineage: Bacteria
Description: bacterial SSU rRNA
Rfam family: Bacterial small subunit ribosomal RNA
Source: RNAcentral
ACUCCUACGGGAGGCAGCAGUGGGAAUAUUGCACAAUGGGGAAAGCCCAUCGAUGCAGCCAUGCCGCGUGUGUGAAGAAGGCCUUCGGGUUGUAAAGCACUUUCAGUAGGGAGGAAGGUAGUGUAGUUAACACCUGCAUUAUUUGACGUUACCUACAGAAGAAGCACCGGCUAACUACGUGCCAGCAGCCGCGGUAAUACGUAGGGUGCAAGCGUUAUCCGGAAUUAUUGGGCGUAAAGAGCUCGUAGGCGGUUUGUCGCGUCUGUCGUGAAAGUCCGGGGCUCAACUCCGGAUCUGCGGUGGGUACGGGCAGACUAGAGUGAUGUAGGGGAGACUGGAAUUCCUGGUGUAGCGGUGGAAUGCGCAGAUAUCAGGAGGAACACCGAUGGCGAAGGCAGGUCUCUGGGCAUUAACUGACGCUGAGGAGCGAAAAGCAUGGGGAGCGAACAGGAUUAGAUACCCUGGUA